GUUAAGCGACUAAGCGUACACGGUGGAUGCCCUGGCAGUCAGAGGCGAUGAAGGACGUGCUAAUCUGCGAUAAGCGUCGGUAAGGUGAUAUGAACCGUUAUAACCGGCGAUUUCCGAAUGGGGAAACCCAGUGUGAUUCGUCACACUAUCAUUAACUGAAUCCAUAGGUUAAUGAGGCGAACCGGGGGAACUGAAACAUCUAAGUACCCCGAGGAAAAGAAAUCAACCGAGAUUCCCCCAGUAGCGGCGAGCGAACGGGGAGCAGCCCAGAGCCUGAAUCAGUGUGUGUGUUAGUGGAAGCGUCUGGAAAGGCGUGCGAUACAGGGUGACAGCCCCGUACACAAAAAUGCACAUACUGUGAGCUCGAUGAGUAGGGCGGGACACGUGGUAUCCUGUCUGAAUAUGGGGGGACCAUCCUCCAAGGCUAAAUACUCCUGACUGACCGAUAGUGAACCAGUACCGUGAGGGAAAGGCGAAAAGAACCCCGGCGAGGGGAGUGAAAAAGAACCUGAAACCGUGUACGUACAAGCAGUGGGAGCACGCUUAGGCGUGUGACUGCGUACCUUUUGUAUAAUGGGUCAGCGACUUAUAUUCUGUAGCAAGGUUAACCGAAUAGGGGAGCCGAAGGGAAACCGAGUCUUAACUGGGCGUUAAGUUGCAGGGUAUAGACCCGAAACCCGGUGAUCUAGCCAUGGGCAGGUUGAAGGUUGGGUAACACUAACUGGAGGACCGAACCGACUAAUGUUGAAAAAUUAGCGGAUGACUUGUGGCUGGGGGUGAAAGGCCAAUCAAACCGGGAGAUAGCUGGUUCUCCCCGAAAGCUAUUUAGGUAGCGCCUCGUGAAUUCAUCUCCGGGGGUAGAGCACUGUUUCGGCAAGGGGGUCAUCCCGA
This 891-nucleotide ribosomal RNA is filed under the name Escherichia coli. Its description in RNAcentral is "partial 23S ribosomal RNA". It matches the Rfam family "Bacterial large subunit ribosomal RNA", at positions 1 to 934 of the family's 2925-position model. Lineage: Bacteria; Pseudomonadati; Pseudomonadota; Gammaproteobacteria; Enterobacterales; Enterobacteriaceae. The record is from RNAcentral.